UGGCACUACUUCCAGCUGCUUGGGUGUUUCCUCCCUCCUCUGUUGGUUGCUGUUGUUGUGGUUCCAUUUGUUGCGGGGUUUGGAGCUCCAUUAGUUGCAGAGUUCGUGGCUCUUGGGUCAUGAGGUGAGAGGAUGUGAAUAUCGAGGAAUACAUGGUUUAGUGUUUGAGGGAGAUUUUGUUAGAAGGAUUGGAGUUGUUGAACUGGUGAUUGGAGAUCUGAGAUUCUCAGAGGAAAGAUGAAAUCGAAUCUUCAAAUGGGAGAGAAGAUCAGAAGAGAAGGAUUGAAAUUGAUGAAGAAAGGAUUUGAGUUUCGAGAGGAAGACUGCAGAGUUUGAGAGAGAAUGGCUGGGGAAAAUUUCUUUUCUUUGGUGUGAACAGUUUUUCUCCAGGAUGCACCUAUUUAUAGAACGAGGUGAGCAGAUCUCCACCGUUGGAUGGACGAUCUCUGAGAUUCAAUCUACGCGUUGGAUUAAAGUCAUCCGAAAACCCGGAAAAGUUGUUGGCGCGUGGAGAGCGUGUAAGGGGACAGGCCGAACCUCGAGACGCUGUGGCAGACAGCUUUAGCCGAAAGUGAUUUGCUUUCCGUAAAUCACGGAAGAGACGUGUCGUGGCACGUGGAGUGUACCGACAGUUUGUUGUUAUUCUAUCGCUUAUGAUAGAAUAAAUAAAAGAAGUUGCAUGGAUAGUAACGAGAGCAGCUGGUGCUCUAGUGGUUGAAGAGCAAGGCUCUUGUACAAGAGGUCAGAGGUUCGAACCUUGCCUCUCGUUUAUUUUUAUUAUGUUCGCUUAUGACAUAAUAAGUAUAACAUUUGUACACAUUAUAUUAAGCACAGCUUGUGCUCCAGUGGUUGGGGGAAAAAGGUUUCGUGCGGCAGGUUGAGGUUUCGAACCUUGCCUUCCCUGUUAUUUUAUUUAUGUCGCUUAUGACAUAAUAAAUAUAACACGUGAGCAUAUAUUAAUGAAGGCAGCUCUUGCUUCAGUGGUUGGGAGCAAAACCUUCGUGUUCGAGGUCGGGAGUUCGAACCUUACCUCUUACAAAUAUUUUUGGAUCUCGUAUAUGCUUGAUAUACGGACGUAUAUACGGUAUGUACGGUAUACAUACAUAUAUAUGGUCUGUACGGUAUGCAUACGUAUAUACAGUUGUACGAUAUGCAUACGUAUAUACGGUCUGUACGGUAUGCAUACAUAUAUACGGUAUACCUACGGUAUGUACAAUUUCAUACCGUAGCCGAGCUGGAAGUCGGUGGGCCGAUUGGUAGGCCCAAAUGUUAAGCCCAAUUGUUCGGCCCGAAUGGUAGGCCCAAAUGUUAAACCCAAAUUGGUUCGGGCCGGUUCGAAAUGUGAAUGGUUCGGUUUCUUCAGCCCAAUUGGCCAGCCCUAAUGCUUAGCCCAAGGAUUGAGCAAGCCCAAGUCAUCAUCACUGGGUGACAUGUUUUAUUGGCGUGCUUUUGAGAAUGAUUUGUUUUGAGUGAUGCAUCUCUAUUGUGGUGUAGAAUAGUGCAUGCUUAAGUUUUACUAUAGAGAUUUACCGUGAUGCUAAUGGAGUAGCGAAACGCUUUGUGGGAGUCUUUACUGUGCUUGUAUGCCAGUACAGGGUGAUGAUCUAUGUGAGGAUCUAUGAGAUAAUCUCUGUGAAGAUCUAAGUGAUGAUCUCUGUGAUGAUCCACGUGAUGAUUUUGUGUAAUUGAUGUGGAGUGAUGUUGAGCAGUUGUUUUGUGAAUUUACAUCGUGACGAAAGGAUUUAGUGGCCAUAGGAAUGUAUUUUUAUACAAAGGGCUGUGGCUUUGUAGAUUACUACAACUUUGGGAAUGAUGGAGAUUCGAUGGUUAGGUCAACCUUAAUCAAGAGGAAUUGACUUACGCUUAAAUUUCGGGACGAAAUUUCUUUAAGGAGGGUGGAUUGUAAUACCCCGAAAAAAAAUCUAAAUUAUUUUUCCGAGGACAUUUUAGAAAUGAUUUCGUGGUCAUGGGAGAAAGUAUGAAGCUUGGAGGAGUGGUGAAAUUGGUUCGAACAAUUUUUAUUCGAAAACUGAACGUUUUAGGGGAGGUCAAAGGAGUUGACUUUUUAUACGUUCAUAAUUGGGGAAAACUUCCUUCAUGAAAGUUGUAGAGCUCGUCGAUACGAUCUCGUGCAUAUGUGGUAUGCAAAAAUCAGAGUUCGUAUGAAUUAGUUAUGAUUUUUUUGAAAAAGUUUUCAGUUUAGUAUAAAGCUGCCAUUUUUGGAAAUUACCAAAAAUAAUUUCAGUUCCAUUUCUGGAAACCGAACUCUCUCUCUCUUGCGCGCGUCCGAGCCCAGAAAAAACAGAGCAAAGCUCUCCGGCCGAGUUCUCCCUCCUCCGGCCACCAAUCGACACCAGACCACCUCCCUUGCCUUCGCCUCGACGCCGCCUACCUGCUAGACGUGAUCACUUCCACCGGAACGGCCUCAAAUCCGGCAGUCGGAGCCGCAAACUUUGAAACAAAAAUCGGUCAACGCCGGUUUUCUCCUAGCUCCGGCCACCAAAACUCACGAUCCUUAGCUCCCUGAACUCGCCUCAACCUUCUGAUCAUCAUUCUAGAAGGAUCGCACCUGGAGUGAUCGGAUUCACGUUCGUCGGAGCUCGCCGGAUUCUGGAAAUUUUCCACCACCACCGAAGCUUUUGAUAGGAAUCGAAGCCUGGAAUUGAAGUUUUGACGUCGAAAUCAAGCCUUGCCGGAUUCUGCAAAAUUCUGGAAUUUUUCCGACCACCGAAGCUUUCGAUCGGUAUAUCUCGAGCUACAGACCAUAUUUUUCUGUGAUUCUUGAACCAGUGAGUUCUUCUUGAGUUUCUUAACAACUCUUCAGAAGGAAUCGAAGCCUUAAAUUGACGUUUUUACGUCGAAUUGGAGCUCGCCGUUUUCUGCAGUUUCUCGCCGGUUUCUGGAAAAUUCCGGCCACCUUCAUACUGUUCAAGGUGAUCGACGGUUUGAUUUGGCGGACGAUUCGUGAAAUUGUAUUUUGAGCUGUUAAGAAGACGCAGCGGGAAUUUAGAGCGGGUAAUCCUACAGGUCAGGAGAACCAGGACGGUGAUCGGGCUGCUUAGAGUAGUGUUAUGUGAAUUACAGCAUUAUAUUGUGAGGUUUGUUAUGCUCAUUUAGAGCUUUACGAUUUUACUUUGUAAGAGUGAAUUGUAAUAAUUAACUCGAGGUUUUCGAGUUUUGUGUUGA
Molecule: long non-coding RNA, 3186 nt
Organism: Rosa rugosa (rugosa rose)
Lineage: Eukaryota; Viridiplantae; Streptophyta; Magnoliopsida; Rosales; Rosaceae
Exons: 4
Source: RefSeq, a predicted model, not a curated record